UCUUUUAUUUAUCAUCCUGCCUUAUUUCAGAUGGGUACUGUCUGGCUGACCUCUAGAUACCCUUGCACUUGCUCUGUGAUAUCCCCAGAAUGUCAAUGCUCCAGUUCUUCAUCUUUCAUUUCUCAGGUGCUUCUUAUUGGUCACUUCUGGUACCAGUGGCAGCAGAAGUGGAAGUUUAUCCUCUGAUAAUCUGCACUGCUUUAAUGGCUCCUAGCAUCCUGAGGAUAUUUUCCAAGUGUUAUGGUGACACCAGCUGAGAUCUUGGCAACAGAAAACCAAAGAGUGCCUUCCUGCAUUUCCCAUUCCCGGCUCUGCUGACCGUGCAGUCAUCAAACACCGGGCAAGAUUUACAGCUUGACGGUCAGCCGUGCUAACUACAGAACACCAAACAACAGCAGGAAGCAGUUAGCAGCGUAGGUGAGGAACGCCGUUUCUAUCUCAUGAGGCAUGCACUAGGGCAAGCAACACGGGCUGGCACUGCGAGAUGCUGUUUCCUCUGCUUUUACGACAAAGAUCAUCUAUAACGCAGAGAGAACUAGAGUGAGAAGGGGAAUGGCUGAACCCAGUUGGAGGAGCAGAAGAAUAAAAUUUAUUUGUGUUUCAGAGAGACUGGAAAAGACUAAGGGGAAGCAAAAAGGAGGGGUAAGAGGAGGGCAAGACCAGGUGCAGGAAAAGACAUACAAAUUAACCCCUUGUGUUGCAUCAGUCUGUGCUGAACUAUUGUAGCACAGUGCUUGUUAGCCAAGGCAGGGCGGCACCUUAAUCAAGUGAUGACAUUAUUUUUGCUUACCCGAGUUCCAAAAAGACCUUUUUUUUUUUUUUCUUUUUCAGUUUCCCCCCAUUACUAAUAACGGGGUGUAUUUUUU
This is a long non-coding RNA of Numida meleagris (helmeted guineafowl), 866 nucleotides long. RefSeq lists it as uncharacterized. The transcript has 3 exons. NCBI's taxonomy places the organism in Eukaryota, Metazoa, Chordata, Aves, Galliformes, Numididae. The record is from RefSeq and is a predicted model, not a curated record.